RNAcentral lists this non-coding RNA (23 nucleotides) under Cricetulus griseus (Chinese hamster). Lineage: Eukaryota; Metazoa; Chordata; Mammalia; Rodentia; Cricetidae. The record is from RNAcentral.
CAUGGACAUGACAUUUUUAAAGG